This is a non-coding RNA of Coprobacillus sp. CAG:183, 151 nucleotides long. Lineage: Bacteria; Bacillati; Bacillota; Erysipelotrichia; Erysipelotrichales; Coprobacillaceae. The record is from Rfam.
UUAGUAGUGAUGCUAUGGGUGAUGGAAGUGGUGUAGCGAAAUAUUCGAGAUUACGAAAAGAAAUUUGAUGAGGCUGAAUGGGAGAUAAGGUUGCAGAACAAACCAAGACAGUAAAUCAAAAACCUGUGAAGAUAAAAAAGAUGUAUGCCUU